Molecule: ribosomal RNA, 584 nt
Filed under: uncultured bacterium
Lineage: Bacteria
Description: partial 16S ribosomal RNA
Rfam family: Bacterial small subunit ribosomal RNA
Source: RNAcentral
UGGGGAAUUUUGGACAAUGGGCGAAAGCCUGAUCCAGCAAUGCCGCGUGUGUGAAGAAGGCCUCGGGUUGUAAAGCACUUUUGUCCGGAAAGAAAUCCUUGGCUCUAAUACAGUCGGGGGAUGACGGUACCGGAAGAAUAAGCACCGGCUAACUACGUGCCAGCAGCCGCGGUAAUACGUAGGGUGCAAGCGUUAAUCGGAAUUACUGGGCGUAAAGCGUGCGCAGGCGGUUUGCUAAGACCGAUGUGAAAUCCCCGGGCUCAACCUGGGAACUGCAUUGGUGACUGGCAGGCUAGAGUAUGGCAGAGGGGGGUAGAAUUCCACGUGUAGCAGUGAAAUGCGUAGAGAUGUGGAGGAAUACCGAUGGCGAAGGCAGCCCCCUGGGCCAAUACUGACGCUCAUGCACGAAAGCGUGGGGAGCAAACAGGAUUAGAUACCCUGGUAGUCCACGCCCUAAACGAUGUCAACUAGUUGUUGGGGAUUCAUUUCCUUAGUAACGUAGCUAACGCGUGAAGUUGACCGCCUGGGGAGUACGGUCGCAAGAUUAAAACUUAAAGGAAUUGACGGGGUCAUAGCUGUUUCCU